RNAcentral lists this ribosomal RNA (497 nucleotides) under uncultured bacterium. RNAcentral's name for it is "partial 16S ribosomal RNA". It matches the Rfam family "Bacterial small subunit ribosomal RNA", at positions 28 to 507 of the family's 1533-position model. The record is from RNAcentral.
GAUGAACGCUGGCGGCGUGCCUAAUACAUGCAAGUCGAGCGAACGGACGAGAAGCUUGCUUUUCUGAUGUUAGCGGCGGACGGGCGAGUAACACGUGGAUAACCUACCUAUAAGACUGGGAUAACUUCGGGAAACCGGAGCUAAUAUCGGAUAAUAUUUUGAACCGCAUGGUUCAAAAGUGAAAGACGGUCUUGCUGUCACUUAUAGAUGGAUCCGCGCUGCAUUAGCUAGUUGGUAAGGUAACGGCUUACCAAGGCAACGAUGCAUAGCCGACCUGAGAGGGUGAUCGGCCACACUGGAACUGAGACACGGUCCAGACUCCUACGGGAGGCAGCAGUAGGGAAUCUUCCGCAAUGGGCGAAAGCCUGACGGAGCAACGCCGCGUGAGUGAUGAAGGUCUUCGGAUCGUAAAACUCUGUUAUUAGGGAAGAACAUAUGUGUAAGUAACUGUGCACAUCUUGACGGUACCUAAUCAGAAAGCCACGGCUAACUACGUG